AGGACGAACGCUGGCGGCGUGCUUAACACAUGCAAGUCGAGCGGUAAGGCCCUUUCGGGGGUACACGAGCGGCGAACGGGUGAGUAACACGUGAGCAAUCUGCCCUUCACUUCGGGAUAAGCCUCGGAAACGGGGUCUAAUACCGGAUAUGACUGCGCCAUGCAUGUGGUGUGGUGGAAAGUUCUGGCGGUGAGGGAUGAGCUCGCGGCCUAUCAGCUUGUUGGUGGGGUAAUGGCCUACCAAGGCUUCGACGGGUAGCCGGCCUGAGAGGGUGACCGGCCACACUGGGACUGAG
RNAcentral lists this ribosomal RNA (295 nucleotides) under uncultured soil bacterium. Its description in RNAcentral is "partial 16S ribosomal RNA". It matches the Rfam family "Bacterial small subunit ribosomal RNA", at positions 26 to 323 of the family's 1533-position model. The record is from RNAcentral.